This is a long non-coding RNA of Mustela lutreola (European mink), 1183 nucleotides long. RefSeq lists it as uncharacterized. NCBI's taxonomy places the organism in Eukaryota, Metazoa, Chordata, Mammalia, Carnivora, Mustelidae. The transcript is spliced from 4 exons. The record is from RefSeq and is a predicted model, not a curated record.
CUGGUCUUCGUGUUUACCGGUGGUGAUGGCCGAGGAAGAGUCUGUCUUCUUAUGGGAUACGGGGAGCUGAAACUUUCCUGUUCUCACAGAUGGUCUUACUGAAGAAGCAGAGGAACAGAGACAGGAAAUGUCGGUAGCAGCAGACGCCGGCCAGAGCGCACAGACCGCCUCCUUCCCAGCACGCAGGCUGCUGGCUCCUCCCGGCCCCACGGCCCUCGCCUGGCUCCCAGCUCCCAGGGAGACGCGGGGGCCCCACAUACACUGUUUCGUCUGCGUGGUUACUUGGCUGGGCUCCCGGACAGCCUCAUAAAUCAGCGCGGCCACAAUAAGAAGCCACUGGAAGCAGCAUCUGGCCAUCGUGGCGCCGGAGAAGGCGGGGACACGUCUGUCUGGGUGGACGGCACCGGAGCACAGAGACUCAGUUUCCUCAUCUGGGAAGCGGAGCUGUGGCGCAUCCCUGCUGCCCGCGGCCCGGCCGGGACGCAGAUCCAGCGCGAAAGAGCUGAGCGGCUGCUCUGUCGUCACCGGCCUCCAGCGACAGAAAGGGGCUGAGCCGGCAGGAGGCCUUGGGCGUCCAGUCCCCCACGCGCGGGACCUCUGGUUGUCAGGGAGGCUGACAGACAGAGGGGCCAGGCUGAGGGGUCAGGCUUGUCCCCAGCUCUCUCCUGGCCCCGGAGGUGAGCAAGAGGUGACUUUAGGACAAGCUACGGGCCGCCCUCUGCCGUGGGGCUGGGUGCGCCUCUUCUGGAAAUACAAACAGGCCCCAGACAGGUGUAGGUAACUUCCUGCCUGACAGAUGUGCCCACAUCAUUCGGGAAGCUGGGGCUGCUGGGGAGGCUCAGGUUUGUGAGGUGACGUCUGGGAGGCCUGAUCCCGCCCCCGGGGCUCAGUGCAGACGGGCUCGGGGCCGGGGCUCGCUGGCCUCCCACUGCACUGCGGCCAGCCGGCCCCGGGUGUCCAGCUGUGGGCCGCUGGCCUCUCCUCAGGUUUCCCUGCACCCGGACCCCCUCCCCACACUGGCUCUGAGCUCGGGCGGAGUGCUGGGGGUGCUCCGAGGACCCACACAGGUGCUCAUGCCUGCCCGUGGGACGGCUCCCGGGUCAGGUGGCGGGCACGGCUCUGGGACCGGCGGGCUGGGCUUGGGGCCCAGCUCUGCCCUCACUGGCUUGGGGCCUCAAGCCCA